UUACAUUUGAGUGCAGGUUUCUAUAGCUUGCGGGUUAGGGAAAACUAAGGGUCAAGGUGAUGAUCCAUUUCGCAAACGGAAGCCUGGAAUGUGGAGAAUAAUGGAGCAAAAUUUCAACUCUGGCAUUUCAAUUGAUAUAGUUCAAUCUUUUUAUGUUGGUGAUGCAGUUGGGAGAGUCAAUUAAUGAUCGUAGUGAUGUGGAUAUUAAAUUUGCUCAGGCUGUUGGCUUGAAAUUUCAUCUUCCUGAGGAAUAUUUUGGCGCUUAAAGACUUCCUGACCAUUAACCUCUGGUACACAUUCACAUCACUGAUUCCUUUUGGAAUUCAAAUUGUAUAUUUGUAGCUAGUGGGAGGAACCAUGCAUGUAGUAGAUUGUGAUAGAUUGGUUAGGUUAUGUAUGAGGAAGUCUGGCAUUAUCUGAAGCUUGCAGAAGUCAAUUAAUCAUUACCCUCUGAAAUCAGUGGGCAGAUUGAAUAUUUUGGCGGAAUGGACAGAGUAGAUGCAUGCAGUGUAUGCUCUCUUGCUUUUUUGCCCUAAAUCAACAUGUUGUGUUCAUCAGGUAGGACCUGAAAUGUACUGGAUAUUGAUUGGGGUAUUAAAAACAUCAAAUCCAAGCAGAGAAUUGUUUGA
Molecule: long non-coding RNA, 629 nt
Organism: Magnolia sinica
Lineage: Eukaryota; Viridiplantae; Streptophyta; Magnoliopsida; Magnoliales; Magnoliaceae
Exons: 3
Source: RefSeq, a predicted model, not a curated record